CUUUUCUCACACUUGCUUCAUUAUCACUCUUCUGCCUCUUCUUAUGGAGGUUCAGUCAUACAGUGAUGGUCAAACCCUUACAGUGCCGUGAAGCAUGUAAACCUCAGAGCAUUACACACUGUGGACUAGGUGUAAAGUUAAGACAAAUCUGUUCUUUGGAGAAGUGGAGGGAGCCGUCAUGAACAAGCUUCUUCUCAUGGGCUCAUUUAAAAAGUCAGACACAUACAAAUACAUGAUCUGUUUCACACUGUUCAUAUUUACAACCAGUAGAUGGCGCCAUAGAUUUACAUGUAUGUUUCUGCAGAUUAAUGACACUGAUUGGACAACAUGCAACAUGCUCAGUUAACAUGUUUUUAGCUGUUUUCAGAUGCUAAAAGUAAAUAAAUUGCAUCCGAAUUUAAUGCUUUUACCAUCCAGUACUACUGUAAAGUGUUUGCAUUGUUAUUUCUUAUAACCGUGGCCUAAAACUGGGAUUCAUAAAAUCCAUAAGAUUAAAAAUGGCUAUAAUCUUUGGUUUAAAAGAUCUUAAUCCUGUGUUAUGAAGUGUAUAAAGCCUUAAAUAUAUUUCUGGUUUUGCUCUGGUUAGGAUUGCAGGCAGUAAUGACAGCACCUGGAUGUGAGUACAGUAUACUGUACUUGGGUUGUAACGGCAUACCGUCAUGGCGGAAUAUCACAAUAUUUAUGUGUGCGAUUAUCGUAUCGUGAACAUUUGCUUACCAAGGUUUUGGACACAAAUUAAGGCAGAUCUCUGCUGCGCAUAUAUGCAACUUUUUUCCAUGUGACUGUCAGACCCCACUCAUACAUACUGCUAAGAAAAUGUCAGAGCCACGGAUGUUAAAUAAUAUCACCAUGUGAGGGACGGAUCAUGUUUAAAGGAUUGUGUUAAUAUAAUUAACUAACAUAAAAAUUUAUUAGCAAGAAAGCUAGAAUAAAUUGGGUUUGUGAAAAACUAAAUUUAUAUAACAUACUCAUAAUGUACAAUAAAAAAAUAUACACACAAAUUUACAUCUGUAAAAACCCAGCUGUGUCCCACCUGAAAAGUUUUUUGAAAAUAUGUAUUUAAUAAUACUGCAUAAAUCAUGAGGGCGGGACUUGAUACUUUUGUGGGCCGUGUUCGCCCAGAGGGCCGUACUGUAUGUUUUGACACCCUUGCUCUAAGUAAACUGCCUGAUGAUUGGAUAAGGAAAUGCAGAUUUCUAUUGGCUGUCUGUUGUGCUACCUCUCAUGUAAUGCAGCUCAAGCUCAG
Non-coding RNA from Misgurnus anguillicaudatus (oriental weatherfish), 1246 nucleotides. The record is from RefSeq and is a predicted model, not a curated record. Lineage: Eukaryota; Metazoa; Chordata; Actinopteri; Cypriniformes; Cobitidae.